RNAcentral lists this ribosomal RNA (253 nucleotides) under uncultured bacterium. RNAcentral's name for it is "partial 16S ribosomal RNA". It matches the Rfam family "Bacterial small subunit ribosomal RNA", at positions 524 to 776 of the family's 1533-position model. The record is from RNAcentral.
AACGUAGGAAGCGAGCGUUAUCCGGAUUUACUGGGUGUAAAGCGCGUGUAGGCGGUUUGGCAAGUUGGAUGUGAAAGCUCCUGGCUUAACUGGGAGAGGUCGUACAAAACUACCAGACUAGAGGAUGGGAGAGGGAGGCGGAAUUCCGGGUGUAGUGGUGAAAUGCGUAGAUAUCCGGAGGAACACCAGUGGCGAAAGCGGCCUCCUGGCCCAUAACUGACGCUCAGACGCGAAAGCUAGGGGAGCGAACGGG